Papaver somniferum (opium poppy) is the source of this 243-nucleotide long non-coding RNA. RefSeq lists it as uncharacterized. NCBI's taxonomy places the organism in Eukaryota, Viridiplantae, Streptophyta, Magnoliopsida, Ranunculales, Papaveraceae. The transcript has 3 exons. The record is from RefSeq and is a predicted model, not a curated record.
UCUCAUGUAUUUAAAGGUUCACUGUAAAGGUUAACUUCAGAUCUCGUGUUUGAAUUUCGGAUUUCAUCUUCUUACAGUUACAAUCAAAAGGGGGACAUCAAGCACCAUCUUUGAUUAAAUGUACUGGGGAGAGAGAUGUCAAGUGUACAAGAACAAGAGUUACCAGAACCAGACCAUUACAACGAUGUUAUGAGUGGUGACGGUCAAGAUGAUGAUGAUGAUGUUGAGAUGCUAGAUUCUGUG